UAUGUGCCCUUGGACUACAUCGU
This 23-nucleotide non-coding RNA is filed under the name Columba livia (rock pigeon). Its record names the gene cli-miR-455-5p. The record is from miRBase by way of RNAcentral. RNAcentral also lists the same sequence under 1 other name. Lineage: Eukaryota; Metazoa; Chordata; Aves; Columbiformes; Columbidae.